RNAcentral lists this ribosomal RNA (497 nucleotides) under uncultured bacterium. RNAcentral describes it as "partial 16S ribosomal RNA". It matches the Rfam family "Bacterial small subunit ribosomal RNA", at positions 28 to 507 of the family's 1533-position model. The record is from RNAcentral.
GAUGAACGCUGGCGGCGUGCCUAAUACAUGCAAGUCGAGCGAACAGACGAUGAGCUUGUUCCUCUGCCGUUAGCGGCGGACGGGUGAGUAACACGUGGAUAACUUACCUAUAUGACUGGGAUAACUUCGGGAAACCGGCUCUAAUACCGGAUCAUAUAUUCAACCGCAUGGUUCACUAGUUAAAGACGGCUUUGCUGUCUCUUUCAGCCGUAUCCGCGGCGCCUUAUCUAGUUGGUAAGGUAACGGCUUACCAAGGCGACGAUGCGUAGCUGACCUGAGAGGGUGAUCGGCCACACUGGAACUGAGACACGGUCGAGACUCCUACGGGAGGCAGCAGUAGGGAAUAUUCCGCAAUGGGCGGAAGCCUGACCGAGCAAUGCCGCGUGAGUGAUGAAGGUCUUCGGAUCGUAAAACUCUCUUGUUAGGGAAGAAAAAAUGUGUAAGUAACUAUACACGUUUUGACGGUACCUAAACAGAAAGCCACGGCUAACUUCGUG